UACGGGGGGAGCAAGCGUUGUUCGGAUUUACUGGGCGUAAAGGGCGCGUAGGCGGCCACCGCAAGUCGACUGUGAAAUCUCCGGGCUUAACUCGGAAAGGUCAGCCGAUACUGCGGGGCUAGAGUGCAGAAGGGGCAACUGGAAUUCUCGGUGUAGCGGUGAAAUGCGUAGAUAUCUGAAGGAACAUCAGUGGCGAAAGCGACUUCCUGGACCAAUACUGACGCUCAUGUGCGAAAGCGUGGGGAGCAAACAGG
Molecule: ribosomal RNA, 254 nt
Filed under: uncultured bacterium
Lineage: Bacteria
Description: partial 16S ribosomal RNA
Rfam family: Bacterial small subunit ribosomal RNA
Source: RNAcentral